UCUGUUUAAAUCACAGGUGAAGAAAGGGCCGGGCAAGACCGGUGCCAGCCGCCGCGGUAAUACCGGCGGCUCGAGUGGUGGCCACUAUUACUGGGCUUAAAGCGUUCGUAGCUGGUUUGUUAAGUCUCUGGGGAAAUCUUCCGGCUUAACCGGAAGGCGUCUCAGGGAUACUGGCAGACUAGGGACCGGGAGAGGUGAGGGGUACUCCAGGGGUAGGAGUGAAAUCCUGUAAUCCUUGGGGGACCACCUGUGGCGAAGGCGCCUCACCAGAACGGCUCCGACAGUGAGGGACGAAAGCUGGGGGAGCAAACCGGAUUAGAUACCCGGGUAGUCCCAGCUGUAAACGAUGCGCGUUAGGUGUAUCAGUGACCACGAGUCACUGAGGUGCCGAAGAGAAAUCGUGAAACGUGCCGCCUGGGAAGUACGGUCGCAAGGCUGAAACUUAAAGGAAUUGGCGGGGGAGCACCACAACGGGUGGAGCCUGCGGUUUAAUCGGACUCAACGCCGGGAAACUCACCAGUUAAGACAGCUGAAUGAUAGUCGGGCUGAAGACUCUACUUGACUAGCUGAGAGGAGGUGCAUGGCCGUCGUCAGUUCGUACUGUGAAGCAUCCUGUUAAGUCAGGCAACGAGCGAGACCCACGCCAACAGUUGCUAGCUCGUCCUCCGGGAUGGAGAGGACACUGUUGGGACCGCCUCUGCUAAAGAGGAGGAAGGAAUGGGCAACGGUAGGUCAGCAUGCCCCGAAUUAACUGGGCUACACGCGGGCUACAAUGGGUGGGACAAUGGGUAUCGACACCGAAAGGUGAAGGCAAUCUCCUAAACCCAUCCUUAGUUCGGAUUGUGGGU
Molecule: ribosomal RNA, 848 nt
Filed under: uncultured Methanomicrobia archaeon
Lineage: Archaea; Methanobacteriati; Methanobacteriota; Methanomicrobia
Description: bacterial SSU rRNA
Rfam family: Archaeal small subunit ribosomal RNA
Source: RNAcentral